AGUCGUAACAAGGUCUCCGUAGGUGAACCUGCGGAGGGAUCAUUAACACAAAAUGUUGUAAAACAAACACUACAACAAGCACCAUUUUUGAUAUGGGACUUGUUGUUCUUUAUUGAACAAUAAGUAAUGUACCUUAUCCUUUUGAACUCCAGUUUUUCUUUCUCAUUUUCUUCUUGUCAAUUGAACAAAAGAAAAAAAACCAAAAGAACUACUGUUGGCGAUGGAUAUCUUGGCUCCCA
This 239-nucleotide unclassified non-coding RNA is filed under the name fungal sp. Its description in RNAcentral is "partial internal transcribed spacer region". The stretch from base 1 to 45 matches the Rfam family "Eukaryotic small subunit ribosomal RNA", at positions 1787 to 1831 of the family's 1831-position model. Lineage: Eukaryota; Fungi. The record is from RNAcentral.